CUACGUAGGGGGCGAGCGUUGUCCGGAAUGACUGGGCGUAAAGGGCGUGUAGGCGGCCGAUUAAGUCUGGAGUGAAAGUCCUGCAUUCAAUGUGGGAAUUGCUUUGGAGACUGGUUGGCUUGAGUGCGGAAGAGGUAAGUGGAAUUCCCAGUGUAGCGGUGAAAUGGGUAGAGAUUGGGAGGAACACCAGUGGCGAAGGCGACUUACUGGGCCGUAACUGACGCUGACGCGCGAAAGCGUGGGGAGCGAACAGGAUUAGAUACCCUGGUAGUCCACGCGGUAAACGAUGAAUGCUAGGUGUUGCGGGUAUCGACCCCUGCAGUGCCGGAGUAAACACAAUAAGCAUUCCGCCUGGGGAGUACGGCCGCAAGGUUGAAACUCAAAGGAAUUGACGGGG
Molecule: ribosomal RNA, 397 nt
Filed under: uncultured bacterium
Lineage: Bacteria
Description: partial 16S ribosomal RNA
Rfam family: Bacterial small subunit ribosomal RNA
Source: RNAcentral